UUUUGCUAACCUAACCUAACCUAUAUAUGUGUGUGAUGUCUCUUAUGCCUUCCUAAACCGUUCAUCCGAUCGCCACGAAACUGAAAAAUGUAUCAGAUAUUUUUCAUUGCUUAGCAACCGUAUACCUAAUUUAUAUAAGUUUGAAAAUAAAAAUAAAUUUAAGGGCAACAACGGUUAACUGCAGUAAUAGUGACGGAUAUUGAAACAAGAAAUCUAGGGGGG
This is a non-coding RNA of Cinara cedri, 222 nucleotides long. The record is from the annotation of a GenBank genome assembly. NCBI's taxonomy places the organism in Eukaryota, Metazoa, Arthropoda, Insecta, Hemiptera, Aphididae.